UGGGGAAUAUUGCACAAUGGGCGAAAGCCUGAUGCAGCGACGCCGCGUGAGGGAUGACGGCCUUCGGGUUGUAAACCUCUUUCAGCAGGGAAGAAGCGAAAGUGACGGUACCUGCAGAAGAAGCGCCGGCUAACUACGUGCCAGCAGCCGCGGUAAUACGUAGGGCGCAAGCGUUGUCCGGAAUUAUUGGGCGUAAAGAGCUCGUAGGCGGUUAGUCGCGUCUGCUGUGAAAAACUCGAGGCUCAACCUCGGGCUUGCAGUGGGUACGGGCUGACUAGAGUGCGGUAGGGGUGACUGGAAUUCCUGGUGUAGCGGUGGAAUGCGCAGAUAUCAGGAGGAACACCGAUGGCGAAGGCAGGUCACUGGGCCGCAACUGACGCUGAGGAGCGAAAGC
This 394-nucleotide ribosomal RNA is filed under the name uncultured bacterium. RNAcentral describes it as "partial 16S ribosomal RNA". It matches the Rfam family "Bacterial small subunit ribosomal RNA", at positions 355 to 760 of the family's 1533-position model. The record is from RNAcentral.